CGGCACGCCUAACACAUGCAAGUCGAGCGAGGUAGCAAUACCUAGCGGCAGACGGGUGCGUAACAUGUGGGAAUCUGCCUUUUGGUUCGGAACAGCACGGGGAAACCUGUGCUAAUACCGUAUGUGCCCUUCGGGGGAAAGAUUUAUCGCCAAAGGAUUGGCCCGCGUUGGAUUAGGUAGUUGGUGGGGUAAUGGCCUACCAAGCCGACGAUCCAUAGCUGGUUUGAGAGGAUGAUCAGCCACACUGGGACUGAGACACGGCCCAGACUCC
This 271-nucleotide ribosomal RNA is filed under the name unidentified marine bacterioplankton. RNAcentral's name for it is "partial 16S ribosomal RNA". It matches the Rfam family "Bacterial small subunit ribosomal RNA", at positions 40 to 339 of the family's 1533-position model. The record is from RNAcentral.